AUGGCCUCCUCCGCCUCCGUUGCGGUCCUCACCGCACCCCCCUUUCCCACUUGCCCCUCCUCCGACGACUCUGACGACGCCAAGCCCCUCCCGCCUCCACCCACGUCGGGAGAAACCCGCCCUCCUCCGCAGCAUCAGCAGAGGCCGCGGUGGUGGCAGCUGGAGCGCGACUGCAACGUGGCCAUGAAGGCCCUGGCGCGUGCGGGCGAAGUCGACCAGGUGCUCGCCCUCUUCACCGAGCUCAGGGCUUCCAGAACCGGCCCGGGUGGUGCCUCGCCGCCCAGUGUGCUCUGCUACAACACUCUCGUCAACGCGCUCGCAGAAGCUGGCCGCGUGGAGGAGGCCCACAACGCGUUCGACGAAAUGCUUGCAACAGGGGUGGCGCCCAAUGCAUCGUCCCUCAACAUCCUUGUCAAGCUGCAUUCGUGGAGAUCUGCGCGGUUUGACCUCGCGUACCAGGUGAUCAUCCGGUUACAAGAGCUCGGGGUGGAAGCUGACGUGGGCACCUACUCCACGCUUGUCACGGGGCUGUGCCGUGUGGGGAGAGUGAGCGAGGCAUGGGGCGUGCUCGAGUGGAUGCUGGAAGUGGGGUGCCGUCCCAUGGUGCAAACUUACACGCCCAUUGUGCAGGGGUAUUGCCGUGAAGGUCGUGUCGACGAGGCCAAGGAGCUGAUGUCCACGAUGGAAAGUGCUGGUUGUCCUCCCAAUGUAGUCACCUACAAUGUUCUGAUCAGGGCUUUGUGUGAUGCUGCCAGAUUUGACGAAGUCAGGCAGGUUUUAAUGGAUAGUAGAACCAAGGAUUGGAAACCAAGUACUGUCACCUACAACACAUUUAUGAAUGGUCUCUGCAAGAAAGGUAUGGCUAAGGAAGCACUUGAGCAGUUGGAUGUUAUGCUAGGCGAAGGGCUGGAUCCCACAGAUUUCACUUUGAGUAUUCUUCUGAAUUGCCUUAGCCAUGACAAGAGGAUUCAUGAUGCCGUAUGCUUGCUGGAGAGGAACACAUCAUUGAAAUGCUAUGCUGGUGUUGUUGCAUACAACACUGUGAUGAGCAGGUUAGGUGAAAUGGGACAUUGGAUGGGUGUUCUAAAGUUGUUGACAGACAUGAUCAAGAGAGGUGUCAUGCCAAACACGAGGACGUUCAACAUUGUCAUUCGUAGUCUUUGCUUUCGCCGAAAGUUCUCCAUAGCCAAGAGCCUCGCAAGUAACCAAGGUUUUGCUGCAAAUGUCGUGACAUACAAUACACUCAUUUAUUUUGUUUUUUACUACAGUCGAAAGCUCAUUGAGGUGAAGGACCUAAUAUUUGACAUGACAGCAGUGAGGAUUGCUCCAGAUGAAGUUACCUACACUAUAAUCGUUGAUGGAUUAUGCAGAGAUGGAUUUUUUGAUACAGCCACUAGUUACUUUCUAGAAUCGCUUGAGAUUGGACUGUCAAGGGAUCUUUUUGCUGUCCUUACAAACAGGCUUGCUCACAAUGGCAAGAUCUGGGAGACUAUUCACAUAUUCAAGGGAAUGGAAGAAAAAGGUUUUAUCCCUGAUAAUUCUAUAUUUGACCUCACAAUCAGAAUAUUCUGUAGGGCUGGUUAUUGUCACGACACAGAUAUGUUUAAGCUUAACUUUGUUCUAGAUACGAUGUUGGGCAAGCAGUGA
This 1647-nucleotide ribosomal RNA is filed under the name Triticum aestivum (bread wheat). RNAcentral describes it as "partial small subunit ribosomal RNA". Lineage: Eukaryota; Viridiplantae; Streptophyta; Magnoliopsida; Poales; Poaceae. The record is from RNAcentral.